GAUUCAACUAGACUAUCUCACCACCAGACCAUGAAUGCCACUGGUAUGGAGCAAAAACGUUUCAAUAUGGAUUCAUUGAGGUUUUGAAAUAGGAAAUUACAAAAGAUACUGUCAUCCCAAAGGCCACAAAGAACAAAAUAAAGUUGUUAAAAUCUAAACCAUAAUGUUGAUGAUUUUCACUCUUCCAUUGCAUCAUUUCCUUCAGUAACUUCCUCUUUAUGCUUCAAUGGUGUAAUCUUUGUUAAAAGGACCUCGGUCUUCUUUGGAAAAGUGUACCCUCUUGAACUGAUAUAGGUACGUGGAUUCGGUAACAUGUGGUUUCUCAAGUAUUCCUUGUGUCCCUUUGUAAUAACACAAACAUCAACAUUGCUUCCACUUCCCAAGUCAUUGAAUACACCAGAGCAUAUCGCUUCACAGACAAGCUUUAUACCUUCAUCCCUAUUCAAUCCUUCUCUGUACUUUGAUUCAAAAAUAGC
Molecule: unclassified non-coding RNA, 476 nt
Filed under: Hevea brasiliensis (rubber tree)
Lineage: Eukaryota; Viridiplantae; Streptophyta; Magnoliopsida; Malpighiales; Euphorbiaceae
Source: RNAcentral